This is a long non-coding RNA of Cucurbita maxima (winter squash), 1165 nucleotides long. RefSeq lists it as uncharacterized. The record is from RefSeq and is a predicted model, not a curated record. NCBI's taxonomy places the organism in Eukaryota, Viridiplantae, Streptophyta, Magnoliopsida, Cucurbitales, Cucurbitaceae. The transcript is spliced from 2 exons.
GAGAAAAUACCAAAUGAAUUAGAAAUUUGCUUCUCAUUUUAUCAAACAAGCUCGGAAAUAGACAGGGAAAGCACAAGAGAGUUGCAUGGAUUCUCUACUUCUAACUGCUUGUCGAGCAAGCUCAGAAGGAGGCAGCAAAGCCAGCUCAAGAUGCAAAAAUGAAACAAAGCAGAAAGAAAAGUGAAGGGAAUUAAGAUCACUAGCUCAGAAACAAGCUCAAAAACAGGCAGCAAAGCCAGCUCAAGAUGCAAAAAGAAACUAAGCAGCAAGAAAAGUGAAUGGAAUUAAGAUCACUGGCUCAGAAACAAGCUCAGAAACAGGCAGCAAAGCCAGCUCAAGAUGCAAAAAUGAAACAAAACAGCAGGAAAAGUGAAGGGAAUUAAGAUCAGUAGCUCAGAAACAAGCAGCAAAGGCAGCUCAAGAUGCAAAAAUGAAACGAAGCAGCAAGAAAAGUGAAGGGAACUAAGAUCAGUAGCUCAUACAGAACAGACCCAAAAAGCUAAAAUGACUACAAAAUUAAGGUUUUACUUUACAUUUUCUCAGUAGCCAAACAAGCCUAGAAACAGCAAUGAGAAAAAGGAGCUGAAACAGAAUUAGCAGAGGAUCCACUUCUUACUGCCAACCUCACAAACACCAACAAAGCUUGCUCAAGAUGCAAUAAUGAAUCAAAGCAAAAAAGAAAAGUGAGUUAAAAUUUUACUUCACAAAAAGCUCAAGAUGCAAGAAUGAAUCAUCACAAAAGGCUCUAAAUGACCAUGAAUCAAGAUUUUGAAAGAGGGAGUAGCAAUGCUUUCUAGACUUCAGCAAAGAGAAUAGUGAAGACUGAAGUGAAUCAAUACCCCAAAAAGGCAGAAUGGCUAAGACAUCAAGAUUUUCCUUCCCAUUUUUUCAGUAGCCAAACAAGUUGAGAAACAAAAAGAGAAAAGAAAUAACUAGGAAUCAAGAUUUCUUUCAUCCCCAUUUUCUCAGCAUCCAAACAAGCUCAGAAACAACAAGAACAGCAAUAAUAAGUUCACUUCUUACGUCAAACUUCCCAGUCUUCAACCAUUAAAGCUUCCUCAAGAUCCAAAAAUGCCCAAAUCCAUCAGAACUCGAAACAGAUAAACAAGUGCGUUCUCAUUCGAUCGCAUUGAUGAAGAAACUGACGAAAAAGGAAAACGAAAAG